RNAcentral lists this ribosomal RNA (363 nucleotides) under uncultured bacterium. Its description in RNAcentral is "bacterial SSU rRNA". It matches the Rfam family "Bacterial small subunit ribosomal RNA", at positions 28 to 390 of the family's 1533-position model. The record is from RNAcentral.
GACGAACGCUGGCGGCGUGCCUAACACAUGCAAGUCAACUUGACUGAAGGAGCAAUCUGACAGUAGAGUGGCGCAAGGGUGCGUAACGCGUAAGUAACUUGCCCAAGGUAAGGAAUAACGUCGAGAAAUCGGCGCUAAUACCUCAUAAUGCAGCGGAUCCGCAUGGAUAUGUUGUUAAAGGUUUAACCGCCUUGGGAUAGGCUUGCGUCUGAUUAGCUAGUUGGUGUGGUAACGGCACACCAAGGCUACGAUCAGUAACUGGUCUGAGAGGAUGAUCAGUCACACUGGAACUGAGACACGGUCCAGACUCCUACGGGAGGCAGCAGUGAGGAAUAUUGGGCAAUGCUCGAAAGAAGUGACCCA